RNAcentral lists this ribosomal RNA (460 nucleotides) under uncultured bacterium. RNAcentral's name for it is "partial 16S ribosomal RNA". It matches the Rfam family "Bacterial small subunit ribosomal RNA", at positions 338 to 795 of the family's 1533-position model. The record is from RNAcentral.
CCUACGGGUGGCAGCAGUGAGGAAUAUUGGUCAAUGGACGAGAGUCUGAACCAGCCACGUAGCGUGAAGGAUGACUGCCCUCUGGGUUGUAAACUUCUUUUAUAUGGGAAUAAAAUGUUCCACGUGUGGGAUUUUGUAUGUACCAUAUGAAUAAGGAUCGGCUAACUCCGUGCCAGCAGCCGCGGUAAUACGGAGGAUCCGAGCGUUAUCCGGAUUUAUUGGGUUUAAAGGGAGCGUAGGUGGAUUGUUAAGUCAGUUGUGAAAGUUUGCGGCUCAACCGUAAAAUUGCAGUUGAAACUGGCAGUCUUGAGUACAGUAGAGGUGGGCGGAAUUCGUGGUGUAGCGGUGAAAUGCUUAGAUAUCACGAAGAACUCCGAUUGCGAAGGCAGUUCACUGGACUGCAACUGACACUGAGGCUCGAAAGUGUGGGUAUCAAACAGGAUUAGAUACCCCUGUAGUC